This 253-nucleotide ribosomal RNA is filed under the name uncultured bacterium. RNAcentral's name for it is "partial 16S ribosomal RNA". It matches the Rfam family "Bacterial small subunit ribosomal RNA", at positions 524 to 776 of the family's 1533-position model. The record is from RNAcentral.
GACAGAGGCCUCAAGCGUUAGGCGGAAUCACUGGGCUUAAAGCGUGUGUAGGCGGAUGCCUAAGUACCUUGUGAAAUCCCGCGGCUCAACCGUGGAACUGCUGGGUAUACUGGGCGUCUUGGGCCAUUCAGGGGCGACUGGAACAAGCGGUGGAGCGGUGAAAUGCGUAGAUAUCGCUUGGAACGCCGAAGGUGAAAACAGGUCGCUGGGGAUGUGCCGACGCUGAGACACGAAAGCCAGGGGAGCAAACGGG